This 74-nucleotide transfer RNA is filed under the name Hirschia baltica ATCC 49814. RNAcentral's name for it is "tRNA-Gly (TCC) (tRNA-Gly-TCC-1-1)". It matches the Rfam family "tRNA". From Rfam's summary of the family: Transfer RNA (tRNA) molecules are approximately 80 nucleotides in length. Their secondary structure includes four short double-helical elements and three loops (D, anti-codon, and T loops). Lineage: Bacteria; Pseudomonadati; Pseudomonadota; Alphaproteobacteria; Hyphomonadales; Hyphomonadaceae. The record is from RNAcentral. RNAcentral also lists the same sequence under 2 other names.
GCGGGUAUAGCAUAAUGGUAAUGCACUAGCCUUCCAAGCUAUGUACCUCGGUUCGAUUCCGUGUACCCGCUCCA